UAUCUGGCAAUUAUAUUUCAGUCAAGUGU
This 29-nucleotide non-coding RNA is filed under the name Rattus norvegicus (Norway rat). Lineage: Eukaryota; Metazoa; Chordata; Mammalia; Rodentia; Muridae. The record is from RNAcentral.